AUGGCGCAGUCCGGCAACAACGACGCCGCCCCGAUCAGUACUCAGCUCGCGGCGGUAAGGGAUCUCACCCCGAGAUUUGAUUCGGUUUUUCAAUUUCCUCAUGAUUUGGUGUUGAUUUGUGGUUUGUUGGCGCGCGCGCAGGAGGAUGUGAAGGUGGAGAGGACGCCCGAGGAGGAGGAGGCCAGGCUGAGGUACCUCGAGUUCGUGCAGCAGGCGGUUGCGCAGGCUGUCUUGCUGGUCGCCGCGGCCUACGCAUACGCCAAGCAGGACACCGGCCCGCUAUGCCCCGGCGUCGACCACGUCGAGGGGACCGUCAAGGCCGUCGUCGGCCCCGUGUACGACUGCUACCACGCCAUGCCGCUCGAUCUCCUCAAGAACCUCAACCUUAUUUCUUAG
This 396-nucleotide ribosomal RNA is filed under the name Triticum aestivum (bread wheat). RNAcentral's name for it is "partial small subunit ribosomal RNA". The record is from RNAcentral. Lineage: Eukaryota; Viridiplantae; Streptophyta; Magnoliopsida; Poales; Poaceae.